UGCGUAGGCGGCCUGACAAGUCAGAAGUGAAAGGCUACGGCUCAACCGUGGUAAGCUUUUGAAACUGUCAGGCUUGAGUGCAGGAGAGGAGAGCGGAAUUCCUGGUGUAGCGGUGAAAUGCGUAGAUAUCAGGAAGAACACCAGUAGCGAAGGCGGCUCUCCGGACUGAAACUGACGCUGAGGCACGAAAGCGGUGGGGAGCGAACA
RNAcentral lists this ribosomal RNA (207 nucleotides) under uncultured bacterium. RNAcentral describes it as "partial 16S ribosomal RNA". It matches the Rfam family "Bacterial small subunit ribosomal RNA", at positions 568 to 774 of the family's 1533-position model. The record is from RNAcentral.